This 428-nucleotide ribosomal RNA is filed under the name uncultured bacterium. Its description in RNAcentral is "partial 16S ribosomal RNA". It matches the Rfam family "Bacterial small subunit ribosomal RNA", at positions 354 to 796 of the family's 1533-position model. The record is from RNAcentral.
GUAGGGAAUAUUGGACAAUGGGGGCAACCCUGAUCCAGCGACGCCGCGUGAGUGACGAAGGCCUUCGGGUCGUAAAGCUCUGUUGCAAGGGAAAAACAAAAUGAUGGUACCUUGCUAGAAAGGAUCGGCUAACUUCGUGCCAGCAGCCGCGGUAAGACGAGGGAUCCUAGCGCUGUUCGGAAUUAUUGGGCGUAAAGCGGGUGUAGGUGGCUUUGUCAGUCAGGUGUGAAAGCCUGGGGCUUAACCCCAGAAGUGCAUUUGAUACUGCGAAGCUUGAGUGCUGGAGAGGCUACUAGAAUUCUUGGUGUAGUGGUGAAAUACGUAGAUAUCAAGAGGAAUACCGGAGGCGAAGGCGGGUAGCUGGCCAGACACUGACACUCAGACCCGAAAGCGUGGGGAUCAAACAGGAUUAGAUACCCCGGUAGUCC